AGCAUAUCAAUAAGCGGAGGAAAAGAAACCAACCGGGAUUGCCUCAGUAACGGCGAGUGAAGCGGCAAGAGCUCAAAUUUGAAAUCUGGCCCCUCCGGGGUCCGAGUUGUAAUUUGCAGAGGAUGCUUCGGGUGCGGCCCCUGUCUAAGUGCCCUGGAACGGGCCGUCAGAGAGGGUGAGAAUCCCGUCUUGGGCAGGGUGCCCGUGCCCGUGUGAAGCUCCUUCGACGAGUCGAGUUGUUUGGGAAUGCAGCUCUAAAUGGGUGGUAAAUUUCAUCUAAAGCUAAAUACCGGCCGGAGACCGAUAGCGCACAAGUAGAGUGAUCGAAAGAUGAAAAGCACUUUGAAAAGAGAGUUAAACAGCACGUGAAAUUGUUGAAAGGGAAGCGCUUGCGACCAGACUCGGCCCCGGGGUUCAGCCAGCACUCGUGCUGGUGUACUUCCCCGGGGGCGGGCCAGCGUCGGUUUGGGCGGCCGGUCAAAGGCCCCAGGAAUGUGUCGCCCUCCGGGGCGUCUUAUAGCCUGGGGUGCAAUGCGGCCAGCCCGGACCGAGGAACGCGCUUCGGCACGGACGCUGGCGUAAUGGUCGCAAACGACCCGUCUUGAAACACGGACCAAGGAGUCUAACAUCUACGCGAGUGUUCGGGUGUCAAACCCGUACGCGCAGUGAAAGCGAACGGAGGUGGGAGCCCCGCAAGGGGCGCACCAUCGACCGAUCCUGAUGUCUUCGGAUGGAUUUGAGUAAGAGCGUAGCUGUGGGGACCCGAAAGAUGGUGAACUAUGCCUGAAUAGGGCGAAGCCAGAGGAAACUCUGGUGGAGGCUCGCAGCGGUUCUGACGUGCAAAUCGAUCGUCAAAUUUGGGUAUAGGGGCGAAAGACUAAUCGAACCAUCUGGUAGCUGGUUCCUGCCGAA
RNAcentral lists this ribosomal RNA (912 nucleotides) under Aspergillus ustus. RNAcentral's name for it is "LSU rRNA". It matches the Rfam family "Eukaryotic large subunit ribosomal RNA", at positions 37 to 965 of the family's 3401-position model. Lineage: Eukaryota; Fungi; Ascomycota; Eurotiomycetes; Eurotiales; Aspergillaceae. The record is from RNAcentral.